AUUUAUUUUAAAGGGCCGCGGUAUACUGACCGUGCGAAGGUAGCAUAAUCAUUAGUCUUUUAAUUGAAGGCUUGUAUGAAUGGUUGGACAAAAAGCAAACUGUCUCAGUUGUAAUAAUUGAAUUUAACUUUUGAGUGAAAAGGCUUAAAUAAGUUAGGGGGACGAUAAGACCCUAUAAAGCUUGACAAUAAGCCGUUUAUAUUAUAAAUUGUUAGUAUAACUUGAUUUUAAAUGGUGUUUGUUGCGUUGGGGCGACGAGAAUAUAAAAGAUAACUGUUCUUAUAAUAUUUAAUAACAGAAAUAGCUGGAAAAUUAAUGAUCCUUUCUUUAAGAUCAUAAGAUUAAGUUACUUUAGGGAUAACAGCGUAAUCUUCCUUGAGAGUUCAUAUCGACAGGAAGGGUUGCGACCUCGAUGUUGAAUUAAGGUAUCCUUAUAAUGCAGCAGUUAUAAAGGAAGGUCUG
RNAcentral lists this ribosomal RNA (462 nucleotides) under Penaeus duorarum (pink shrimp). RNAcentral describes it as "partial 16S ribosomal RNA". It matches the Rfam family "Bacterial large subunit ribosomal RNA", at positions 1916 to 2579 of the family's 2925-position model. The record is from RNAcentral. Lineage: Eukaryota; Metazoa; Arthropoda; Malacostraca; Decapoda; Penaeidae.